This 507-nucleotide ribosomal RNA is filed under the name uncultured bacterium. RNAcentral's name for it is "bacterial SSU rRNA". It matches the Rfam family "Bacterial small subunit ribosomal RNA", at positions 47 to 507 of the family's 1533-position model. The record is from RNAcentral.
CCUAAUACAUGCAAGUCGAACGCAUUGUGGUUGAAAUGAUAUGAAGAACUUGUUCAGAUUUGAUUUUACAACAUUGCAAUGAGUGGCGAACGGGUGAGUAACACGUGGGAAACCUACCUCUUAGCAGGGGAUAACAUUGGAAACAAAUGCUAAUACCGUAUAAUAAUUAAAACCGCAUGGUUUUAGUUUAAAAGAUGGUCUUGCUAUCACUAAGAGAUGGUCCCGCGGUGUAUUAGUUAGUUGGUGAGGUAAUGGCUCACCAAGACAAUGAUACAUAGCCGAGUUGAGAGACUGACCGGCCACAAUGGGACUGAGACACGGCCCAUACUCCUACGGGAGGCAGCAGUAGGGAAUCUUCCACAAUGGACGAAAGUCUGAUGGAGCAACGCCGCGUGUGUGAUGAAGGGUUUUCGGCUCGUAAAACACUGUUGUAAGAGAAGAAUGACAUUGGGAGUAACUGUUCAAUGUGUGACGGUAUCUUACCAGAAAGGAACGGCUAAAUACGUG